This 253-nucleotide ribosomal RNA is filed under the name uncultured bacterium. Its description in RNAcentral is "partial 16S ribosomal RNA". It matches the Rfam family "Bacterial small subunit ribosomal RNA", at positions 524 to 776 of the family's 1533-position model. The record is from RNAcentral.
UACGGAGGGUGCAAGCGUUAUCCGGAUUCACUGGGUUUAAAGGGUGCGUAGGCGGACAGGUAAGUCAGUGGUGAAAUCUCUGGGCUUAACUCAGAAACUGCCGUUGAUACUAUUUGUCUUGAAUAUCAUGGAGGUAAGCGGAAUAUGUCAUGUAGCGGUGAAAUGCUUAGAUAUGACAUAGAACACCGAUAGCGAAGGCAGCUUACUACGCAGAGAUUGACGCUGAGGCACGAAAGCGUGGGGAGCAAACAGG